Molecule: ribosomal RNA, 555 nt
Filed under: Phaeoacremonium parasiticum
Lineage: Eukaryota; Fungi; Ascomycota; Sordariomycetes; Togniniales; Togniniaceae
Description: eukaryotic LSU rRNA
Rfam family: Eukaryotic large subunit ribosomal RNA
Source: RNAcentral
CACAGGGAUUGCCCCAGUAACGGCGAGUGAAGCGGCAACAGCUCAAAUUUGAAAUCUGGCCUAGGCCCGAGUUGUAAUUUGCAGAGGAUGCUUCGGGCGCGGUGCCUUCUGAGUUCCCUGGAACGGGACGCCAUAGAGGGUGAGAGCCCCGUACGGUUGGACACCUAGCCUGUGUGAAGCUCCUUCGACGAGUCGAGUAGUUUGGGAAUGCUGCUCAAAAUGGGAGGUAUAUCUCUUCUAAAGCUAAAUACCGGCCAGAGACCGAUAGCGCACAAGUAGAGUGAUCGAAAGAUGAAAAGCACCUUGAAAAGGGGGUUAAACAGCACGUGAAAUUGUUGAAAGGGAAGGGCCCAUGACCAGACUUGUGCCCGGCGGAUCACCCAGCGUUCUCGCUGGGGCACUCCGCCGGGUCCAGGCCAGCAUCGGUUCUCGCCGGGGGAUAAAGGCUCUGGGAACGUAGCUCCUCCGGGAGUGUUAUAGCCCUCUGCGUAAUACCCUGGCGGGGACCGAGGUACGCGCUCCGCAAGGAUGCUGGCGUAAUGGUCAUCAGCCACC